Molecule: ribosomal RNA, 373 nt
Filed under: uncultured fungus
Lineage: Eukaryota; Fungi
Description: eukaryotic LSU rRNA
Source: RNAcentral
AGAGUUAAAAAGUAUGUGAAAUUGUUGAAAGGGAAACGAUUGAAGUCAGUCGUGCAGUCAUCAACUCAGCGGGUAGCGUUCGUAAUUUAUUGCUUACGUUUUCCGUGUACUUUGUUGUCUGCUGGUUAGCAUCAAUUUUGAUUGUCAUAAAAAGGUUAAGGGGAUGUGGCUCCUUCGGGAGUGUUAUAACCCUUAGCGGAAUGUGGCGAUUGGGAUUGAGGAUUGCAGCGGGUGCCUUUCGAGGCUAAGUGCCUGGCCCUUGUUCGUGGUCGUCUUGGUAACAGCGUGCUGGUGCCGAGCCCGAUCCGUGGACAUGGGGUUUAGCGUCACGGUAAACUCGUUAAGGAUGCUGACGUAAUGGCUUUAAACGACC